AGGAUGAACGCUGGCGGCGUGCUUAACACAUGCAAGUCGAACGGUGAUAGCAAUAUCACAGUGGCGCACGGGUGAGGAACACGUAGCUUAUCUGCCCCGAAGUGUGGGAUAACGCUCCGAAAGGAGUGCUAAUACCGCAUAAGCUCCCGGACUAUAGAGGUCUGAGAGAAAAGGCGCAAGUCGCUUUGGGAGGAGGCUGCGGCCCAUCAGGUAGUUGGUGCGGUAACGGCGCACCAAGCCAACGACGGGUAGGGGACCUGAGAGGGUGAGUCCCCCACGACUGGGACUGAGACACGGCCCAGACUCCUACGGGAGGCAGCAGUGAGGAAUAUUGCCAAUGGACGAAAGUCUGAGGCAGCGACGCCGCGUGGGUGAUGAAGGGCCUUGGGCGUAAAGCCUUUUCUGCGUGACGAGAACAGGACGUAGCGCAGGAAAAAGUCUGGCUAACUAGUGCCAGCAGCCGC
Molecule: ribosomal RNA, 464 nt
Filed under: uncultured soil bacterium
Lineage: Bacteria
Description: bacterial SSU rRNA
Rfam family: Bacterial small subunit ribosomal RNA
Source: RNAcentral